UCAUUUAACUCCUCUCUUUCUUUUUUUUAAACUUCAUAUUUCUCCAAUCCUGAUUGGCUCGUGUCUCCCACGCUCACGCUCAACAAUCACGAGACACCUUUUUGGCGGCCUCACUUCCUCACCACGUCCAUUCCUCUCGCUCUAUAUAGUAUAUAAUAUAACUCCCUCCGUCCCUCCUCUUUCUCUGUUUUCUCUUCAUUCUCACCUUAGCUGUAACUGCCUUUCUCUCUCUCUGUGCUUGCUGUUUCAAAAACCCUAGUUUUCCUGUGCCUUCGAGCUUCAUUUUGUUAGCUGUAUGUACAUUUGAGUUUAGCUUUGACGAUGGGAAGUUGUUGGAAAGGAGUGAACUACUCUGUUUCGUAUCAGGAUCGUCGAUUCUCUAAGCAGAUUCGCGAUAAUGUCCAUGGCUACAUCUACCUCGAUCCACUCUUUCUGAAGUUCGUUGAUACUGAACAAUUUCAGAGACUUCGUGAUCUAAAGCAACUUGGUCUAACAUACUUGGUUUAUCCAGGAGCUGUACAUUCUCGGUUUGAGCACUCACUAGGUGUAUACUGGCUGGCCAGUGAAGCAGUUCAAAGGAUUAAAAUUUACCAAGGUUCGGAGCUUGAUAUUAAUGACUCUGAUAUAAUUACAGUGAAACUUGCUGGACUAUUGCAUGAUAUUGGACAUGGGCCAUUCAGCCAUUUGUUUGAGAGCGAGUUUCUCCCCCGAGUUUAUAAUGGCCUUAACUGGUCACAUGAAGACAUGUCGCUGAAAAUGAUAGACUUUAUUGUAGAUACACACCAUAUUGACAUAGAUCCUGAAUACCUAAAGAAAGCCAAGGAGAUGAUCACUGCUAGCAGUGGACAUGCUUCUCAAAAUGCUGUAAAUGAAAAGCGCUUCCUACAUGAUAUUGUUGCAAAUGGUCGAAAUGGGAUAGAUGUGGACAAGUUUGAUUACCUUAUCCGUGACUCCCGGGCUUGUGGACUGGGGUGUAGUUUCCAGUUUGAGAGGUUAAUGGGUAGCAUGAAUGUUGUAGGGGAUGAGAUAUGCUACCGCGCCAAAGAUUAUCUCACAGUCCAAAAGUUAUUUGCCACUCGUGCUGAUAUGCAUCGAACCGUCUAUACACAUGCAAAAGUGAAGGCAAUAGAACUCAUGGUUGUGGAUGCUUUGUCAAAAGCAAAUGAUUAUCUCGGGAUUUCAUCCUCAAUUGAUGAUCCAUCUCAAUUUUGGAAGAUAGAUGACUCUAUACUGAAAGUUGUUGAAACUAAUCCUGCCAAGGAGCUGAAGGAAGCGAGAGAACUGAUCCAGCGGAUUAGGAGAAGAGACCUAUACCAGUUCUGCAAUGAGUUUUCGGUUCCAAAAGACAAGCUAGAGCACUUCAAAGACGUCACACCACAGGACAUUGUUUGUUCCCAGAAAACUGAUCACGCUACACUGAAAGAGGAAGAUGUUGCUGUAAGCAUUACUAAGAUUGAUUUGACACGUGGAAGGAGGGAUCCUCUUGAAAGCGUCCUUUUUUUCGAGGUCUAUCUUAUCAGGAUUAUGCGAGCAAGAGCAAAUUCACAAUAGAAAAAGAUCUCAUCAGUCACUUGCUGCCUUCUUCUUACCAAGACAAGAUAGUGAGGGUUUAUGCUAAGAAGCCUGAGCUGGUGGAUGCAGUUUCGGUGGCCUUCGAGAACUUCCAGCAGAAGACAUAUGGAAUGAAAGCACAGGUACACGCUACUCCUGACAAGAAGAGACGGAAAAACUUGUUCUGCUCGUAAUCACUUACAUCUAUAUAUGCCUUGGUCUUAGAACUUGUACGUAUUAGUAACAGUUGGAAAGGGGGUAGGAAAAAGAAAAAAUUUAGACUAGGUUCACAAUACGUCCUGCCUGCGGCUUUUUCUCCAUUUACUUGGAGACCUCAGAUUAAAAUGUACAUGCUUUACGCAAACACUGAGUGGAUCAUCAUCGUAAUUGCCAUUGAUGUAAUAGGUUUAGAUGUUCCACUUGUAGUUCUUUUAGUAUGAAUUGGGAAGUCGAAUGAAUUUGAUGCGACACACAAAUUAAUUUUCA
Ricinus communis (castor bean) is the source of this 2037-nucleotide RNA transcript. It is a transcript of the gene named deoxynucleoside triphosphate triphosphohydrolase SAMHD1 homolog, with no coding region annotated. The transcript has 19 exons. NCBI's taxonomy places the organism in Eukaryota, Viridiplantae, Streptophyta, Magnoliopsida, Malpighiales, Euphorbiaceae. The record is from RefSeq and is a predicted model, not a curated record.